GUGCUCGCUUCAGCAGCACAUGUACUGGGAUUAGAAUGAUGCAGAGGAGAUUAGCAUGGUCCCUGCACAACGAUAAUGCACAAAUCCAUGAAGUGUUCCAAACAAAG
Molecule: small nuclear RNA, 107 nt
Organism: Pongo pygmaeus (Bornean orangutan)
Lineage: Eukaryota; Metazoa; Chordata; Mammalia; Primates; Hominidae
Source: RefSeq, a predicted model, not a curated record